Molecule: non-coding RNA, 109 nt
Filed under: Deinococcus peraridilitoris
Lineage: Bacteria; Thermotogati; Deinococcota; Deinococci; Deinococcales; Deinococcaceae
Also listed under: 1 other name
Description: TPP sequence
Rfam family: TPP riboswitch aptamer (THI element)
About the family: Vitamin B(1) in its active form thiamin pyrophosphate (TPP) is an essential coenzyme that is synthesised by coupling of pyrimidine and thiazole moieties in bacteria.
Source: RNAcentral
GCCUGUCACUCGGGGUGCCUGACAAAGCGUCGGGCUGAGAGGGCCUUGGCCUAACCCGUUGAACCUGAUCUGGGUCACACCAGCGGAGGGAGCGUGACGGGAAUGGCGA